Molecule: unclassified non-coding RNA, 474 nt
Filed under: Dermacentor andersoni
Lineage: Eukaryota; Metazoa; Arthropoda; Arachnida; Ixodida; Ixodidae
Description: uncharacterized LOC126519915
Source: RNAcentral
GAGGCACGACGGCGUGUUGAUCCAUAUAGCUGUUGCUGCCCUGCAGCGUUUGCUCUGUGUCAGUUGCAGUUUCUACUGCUGUACGAGUAUUGUUCCACGAGCGUAGAAAAAUAACUUGCCCUCAUGGCCUCCCCGCUCAAGAGCUGCAUCGAUCCGGCCGAACACCCACUCGACACUCGAAGGAACUUUGGGGAGUACAUGGUUCAGCAUCUCAGGCGUCACGCAGGCUCAAAACUGAUCAACGGUACAACCGACGAAGCCUACAACUACGGCGAAGUAGCAGAACAGGUGGAUGCCGUGAGGACAGCGCUAUGGCGAUUGGGCCAUGAAGCUGGAGACAAGAUCCUGCUCCUCAGCGCAAAUCGGACGCAACUGCUGCCGAUGUUUCUGGGUGCAGCAUGCGCCAACGUGGCGUCCGUCUGUGAAAUCCCGGGCUUCAGUGUCGGUGAGUAUGCCAAAAGGUUCUUCACCAUG